UCGAAGGAGAGUGGGACGACUGCAACCUGCUGCAGCUAAGUAUGCAAGGAUAGCGCCGACCGGCUUCCGAGUCGACAUCCCACUGAGUCCCACCGCAGCCACCACAGCCAGCCCUGCCCAGGGGCUUCCACGUGGGAAGGCUGUAACAGACAGACAGCAGCCACGAUGAUACACGCUGAAAACAGCCAGCAGAAAAAAUGAGGAGAGAGUGGUAUGACGGAGUGGAAUUCCGGUUGUGGAUGACAGAAUGGAAAUUAUGCGCAAGAUGAAAGAGUUAAGACAAAUUACUCUAAAAAUAUCUGACUUAGUUGUUUCUAAACCCUGGGGCACCCUUAGGAAAAAAUAAAAAUAAAAAAAU
Molecule: long non-coding RNA, 358 nt
Filed under: Pongo abelii (Sumatran orangutan)
Lineage: Eukaryota; Metazoa; Chordata; Mammalia; Primates; Hominidae
Description: lincRNA
Source: RNAcentral